AAGCGGUGGAUGAUGUGGAUUAAUUCGAUGCAACGCGAAAACCUUACUACCCUUGACAUGUCCGGAAUCCCGAAGAGAUUUGGGAGUGCUCGCAAGAGGACCGGAACACAGGUGCUGCAUGGCUGUCGUCAGCUCGUGUCGUGAGAUGUUGGGUUAAGUCCCGCAACGAGCGCAACCCUUGUCAUUAGUUGCCAUCAUUUGGUUGGGCACUCUAAUGAGACUGCCGGUGACAAACCGGAGGAAGGUGGGGAUGACGUCAAGUCCUCAUGGCCCUUAUGGGUAGGGCUUCACACGUCAUACAAUGGUCGGUACAGAGGGUUGCCAACCCGCGAGGGGGAGCUAAUCCCACAAAGCCGAUCGUAGUCCGGAUCGCAGUCUGCAACUCGACUGCGUGAAGUCGGAAUCGCUAGUAAUCGUGGAUCAGCAUGUCACGGUGAAUACGUUCCCGGGUCUU
RNAcentral lists this ribosomal RNA (454 nucleotides) under uncultured Rhodocyclaceae bacterium. RNAcentral's name for it is "bacterial SSU rRNA". It matches the Rfam family "Bacterial small subunit ribosomal RNA", at positions 927 to 1382 of the family's 1533-position model. The record is from RNAcentral. Lineage: Bacteria; Pseudomonadati; Pseudomonadota; Betaproteobacteria; Rhodocyclales; Rhodocyclaceae.